GAAUAUUGGACAAUGGGCGAAAGCCUGAUCCAGCCAUGCCGCGUGUGUGAAGAAGGUCUUCGGAUUGUAAAGCACUUUAAGUUGGGAGGAAGGGCAUUAACCUAAUACGUUGGUGUCUUGACGUUACCGACAGAAUAAGCACCGGCUAACUCUGUGCCAGCAGCCGCGGUAAUACAGAGGGUGCAAGCGUUAAUCGGAAUUACUGGGCGUAAAGCGCGCGUAGGUGGUUUGUUAAGUUGAAUGUGAAAUCCCCGGGCUCAACCUGGGAACUGCAUCCAAAACUGGCAAGCUAGAGUAUGGUAGAGGGUAGUGGAAUUUCCUGUGUAGCGGUGAAAUGCGUAGAUAUAGGAAGGAACACCAGUGGCGAAGGCGACUACCUGGACUGAUACUGACACUGAGGUGCGAAAGCGUGGGGAGCAAA
Molecule: ribosomal RNA, 421 nt
Filed under: uncultured bacterium
Lineage: Bacteria
Description: bacterial SSU rRNA
Rfam family: Bacterial small subunit ribosomal RNA
Source: RNAcentral